UACGAAGGGGGCGAGCGUUGUUCGGAAUUACUGGGCGUAAAGGGCGCGCAGGCGGCCUUAGAAGUCAGAUGUGAAAGCCCCGGGCUCAACCUGGGAAUGGCAUUUGAUACUCUGAGGCUGGAGUACGGGAGAGGAGAGUGGAAUUCCCAGUGUAGAGGUGAAAUGCGUAGAUAUCGGGAGGAACACCUGUGGCGAAGGCGGCCCCCUGGUUGGAUACUGACGCUGAUACGCGAAAGCGUGGGGAGCAAACAGG
This 253-nucleotide ribosomal RNA is filed under the name uncultured bacterium. RNAcentral's name for it is "partial 16S ribosomal RNA". It matches the Rfam family "Bacterial small subunit ribosomal RNA", at positions 524 to 776 of the family's 1533-position model. The record is from RNAcentral.